Molecule: ribosomal RNA, 905 nt
Rfam family: 5.8S ribosomal RNA (bases 496-649)
AUGGUACUGCGGAGGUCAUUAACGAGUUUUGAAGUGGGGCUUGAGCUGGCUAAGUAAAACAACUCUGGCGCAUAAAUGUAGUACGGCCAAGGUGUUCGCGCCUUGGUCUGGCGCUUAAUAAAAGACCAACAAAUAUGUUGGUCACCGCGCGGGUUACAAUAAAAUACGACUCCGGUGUAUAUGUAAUUGAAGCAUAUGUGGCUUGCACUUAUCUUGAUCGGUGAGAUACAGUCAAGCGUUACGUGCAAUAUAUUAUAUUUUACACUUUAGGUUGCGCGCGGGAGAAUUACAAUAGCAUGUGCUCAGCCUCCCUCUUAUCCACUCAACCCCUGUGCACUAUUCGGAGUGUUGCAAGCUGAGACUUGAAUAGGUCUUGGUCGCGUUUCUAAUGCGGCUGGGUUCUAAGACAGUCAAGGCUUGUCCUCUGGUCUAUAUACAAACUCUUAUAUUGUCUUGUAGAAUGUGUUAGCCUCUCGUUAGGCGAAACUUAAAUACAACUUUCAACAACGGAUCUCUUGGCUCUCGCAUCGAUGAAGAACGCAGCGAAAUGCGAUAAGUAAUGUGAAUUGCAGAAUUCAGUGAAUCAUCGAAUCUUUGAACGCACCUUGCGCUCCUUGGUAUUCCGAGGAGCAUGCCUGUUUGAGUGUCAUGUUAAUAUCAACCCCGUCGGUUUGUAAAUCAGACCGUUGGGUGUUGGACUUGGAGGUUCUUGCUGGCUGCAAAGUCGGCUCCUCUUGAAUGCAUUAGCUUGGGCCUGUUGUGCGUGCUCGCGGUGUAAUAAGUUUUAUUCAUCGUUUGGGUCGUACACUUAUUGGGCUUGCUUCUAACUGUCUUCGGACAAGCAUAACCUUUGACUCUGACCUCAAAUCAGGUAGGACUACCCGUGACUAGUAUUUUAAUAAAGG